GUCCAUAGCAGCUCAGUUGGUUAGAGUGCAGUGCUGAUAAUGCCAAGGUUGCAGGUUCAAUCCCUGCUUGGGACA
Non-coding RNA from Podarcis lilfordi (Lilford's wall lizard), 75 nucleotides. The record is from the annotation of a GenBank genome assembly. Lineage: Eukaryota; Metazoa; Chordata; Lepidosauria; Squamata; Lacertidae.